UUUUUCUUCUCAACUUCAACUGAUGGUAAAAUCAAAGCACUUGGUUCCAAUGCAGUUUUUCUUCUGGAUGCAGUUUACUAGCACUUGGUUCCAAUGCAGUGCAUAAACUCUAGCAGUGGCCGUGCGAUGAACGAAAUCCAUCGGGCAAGUCAACUGCAUCUGUUGCUCCUCAGCUCUGUCAGCCACCAAAUGGUAUUCUUAUGACCAAUGAAAGGAGUGAUAACAAUCCAGAAGAAGCAACUGCUUGUAUUGCUUUAUCUAAGAAUGACUCUUAU
Zingiber officinale is the source of this 275-nucleotide long non-coding RNA. RefSeq lists it as uncharacterized. The record is from RefSeq and is a predicted model, not a curated record. The transcript has 2 exons. NCBI's taxonomy places the organism in Eukaryota, Viridiplantae, Streptophyta, Magnoliopsida, Zingiberales, Zingiberaceae.